GCUUUCCUGUGGCUCAGUUGGUAGAGCAAUGCGCUAACAACGCAAAGGUAAUUGGAUCAAAUCUAAGGAAAAGCA
Non-coding RNA from Danionella cerebrum, 75 nucleotides. The record is from the annotation of a GenBank genome assembly. NCBI's taxonomy places the organism in Eukaryota, Metazoa, Chordata, Actinopteri, Cypriniformes, Danionidae.